AGAAACUAACAAGGAUUCCCCUAGUAACUGCGAGUGAAGCGGGAAAAGCUCAAAUUUAAAAUCCUUCGGGAAUUGUAAUCUAGAGACAUGUUUUCGGUCGCUGCCUCGGACAAGUCCCUUGGAACAGGGCGUCAUAGAGGGUGAGAAUCCCGUCCUUGCCGAGUUACCAGCGUCUAUGUGAUACAUGCUCGACGAGUCGAGUUGUUUGGGAUUGCAGCUCAAAAUGGGUGGUAAACUCCAUCUAAAGCUAAAUAUUGGCGAGAGACCGAUAGCGAACAAGUACCGUGAGGGAAAGAUGAAAAGCACUUUGGAAAGAGAGUUAAACAGUACGUGAAAUUGUUAAAAGGGAAGCGCUUGAAGUCAGUCACGUCGCAGGGACUCAGCCUUUGGUGCAUUUCUCUGUGACGGGUCAACAUCAGUUUUGGCCGCGGGAAAAGGACCUGGGGAAGGUGGCAGCUUCGGCUGUGUUAUAGCCUCUUGUCGUACACCGCGGCUGGGACUGAGGCCCGCUAAUAGGAUGUUGACGUAAUGGCUUUAAGCGACCCG
RNAcentral lists this ribosomal RNA (546 nucleotides) under Dacrymyces microsporus. RNAcentral's name for it is "eukaryotic LSU rRNA". It matches the Rfam family "Eukaryotic large subunit ribosomal RNA", at positions 60 to 651 of the family's 3401-position model. Lineage: Eukaryota; Fungi; Basidiomycota; Dacrymycetes; Dacrymycetales; Dacrymycetaceae. The record is from RNAcentral.